UUUUUGUUUAAUGAUAUAAUUGGGAGAGUUUUCACUUCCACAUUUCUUUGCAAAUUCAAUUCAAUCUGAAUGGCAGUGAUUGGCUGAGAAUGCUGGUUUAUCCAUUCCUACCUCCAGUACUACGAGCAUACCACUGAAAUGCAGAUUGGACAAAAUAAAUACAGAUCAUUUGAAAGUGAAGUAUUGAUGAGUUGGAGGAGAUGGAGGUCUCUUAGCAUCAGAAAAAGCACAUUUUUUUUUGCCAAACGGCUCCCAAAGAAACUGUCAAAAAACUGGGUGCCCGGAAACGUAUAAUAACAAUCUAAAUUAAU
Non-coding RNA from Pelobates cultripes (western spadefoot toad), 311 nucleotides. The record is from the annotation of a GenBank genome assembly. Lineage: Eukaryota; Metazoa; Chordata; Amphibia; Anura; Pelobatidae.